This 360-nucleotide ribosomal RNA is filed under the name Triticum aestivum (bread wheat). Its description in RNAcentral is "partial small subunit ribosomal RNA". Lineage: Eukaryota; Viridiplantae; Streptophyta; Magnoliopsida; Poales; Poaceae. The record is from RNAcentral.
AAAAAGGCGGAAGAGACAUUAGGCCCCUUCUUUGCUGAAAGGCCGGACCUCCACAAAGCAUUUGAGUUAUGUGUUGACCAUUGCUUAACCCCAGAAGAGUUCGAAACAAGCUGGAAGGCAAUGAUAGAAAAGUACCAAGUCCAUGACAAUGAGACCCUACAGAACCUUUGGAAUAAGAGAAAAUUCUGGGUGCCAGCUUAUUUUAUGCAGUGUUUCUAUCCCUUCCUGCAGACUACCCAACGCAGUGAGGGGUUUAACGCUGUUAUAAAAAGGUAUGUGAACCCUAGCAAUUCAAUUCUCAGAUUUGUCCAGCAGUACAGCGCAAUACAACAAAUAAUUCUAGGCGCGGAGCUACAAUAG